RNAcentral lists this transfer RNA (85 nucleotides) under Luteipulveratus halotolerans. Its description in RNAcentral is "tRNA-Tyr". It matches the Rfam family "tRNA". Rfam says of the family: Transfer RNA (tRNA) molecules are approximately 80 nucleotides in length. Their secondary structure includes four short double-helical elements and three loops (D, anti-codon, and T loops). The record is from RNAcentral. Lineage: Bacteria; Bacillati; Actinomycetota; Actinomycetes; Micrococcales; Dermacoccaceae.
GCCAGGUUGCCCGAGCGGCCAAUGGGAGCGGACUGUAAAUCCGUCGGCUUUGCCUUCCAAGGUUCGAAUCCUUGACCUGGCACCA